UGGCGAGCGGGUGAUUAACACGUGGGCCAUCUGCCCUUCACUCUGGGACAAGCCCUGGAAACGGGGUCUAAUACCGGAUACGAGCCUGAGAGGCAUCUCUCGGGUUGGAACACCUCCUUGAGAGGAUGAACCCGCGGGCUAUCAACUUGGUGGUGAGGUAAUGGGUCAGAGAGGCUACGACGGGUAGUCGGGCUGAAAAGGCGACCGGCCACCCUGGGACUGAGACACGGGCCGAACUCCUACCGGAGGCAGAAAUGCUGAAUAUUGCACAAUGGGCGAAAGACUGAUGUCUCGACACCGCGUGAGGGAUGACCGGCUUACGAUUGUGAACCUCCCUCAACAAGAAACAAACGAGAGUGACGGGACCUGCACAAUAAGCGCCGGCUAACUACAUGCCUUGCUCCGCGUUACUACGUAGGGCGCAAGCGUUGUCCGGAAUUAUUGGGCGUA
Molecule: ribosomal RNA, 450 nt
Filed under: Streptomyces sp. ANA101
Lineage: Bacteria; Bacillati; Actinomycetota; Actinomycetes; Kitasatosporales; Streptomycetaceae
Description: bacterial SSU rRNA
Rfam family: Bacterial small subunit ribosomal RNA
Source: RNAcentral